RNAcentral lists this ribosomal RNA (464 nucleotides) under uncultured bacterium. RNAcentral describes it as "partial 16S ribosomal RNA". It matches the Rfam family "Bacterial small subunit ribosomal RNA", at positions 28 to 507 of the family's 1533-position model. The record is from RNAcentral.
GACGAAUGCUGGCGGCGUGCUUAACACAUGCAAGUCGAACGGAAAGGCCCUGCUUGCAGGGUACUCGAGUGGCGAACGGGUGAGUAACACGUGGGUGAUCUGCCCUGCACUUCGGGAUAAGCCUGGGAAACUGGGUCUAAUACCGGAUAGGAGCCAUUUUUAGUGCGAUGGUUGGAAAGUUUUUUCGGUGUAGGAUGAGCUCGCGGCCUAUCAGCUUGUUGGUGGGGUGAUGGCCUACCAAGGCGGCGACGGGUAGCCGGCCUGAGAGGGUGGACGGCCACAUUGGGACUGAGAUACGGCCCAGACUCCUACGGGAGGCAGCAGUGGGGAAUAUUGCACAAUGGGCGCAAGCCUGAUGCAGCGACGCCGCGUGGGGGAUGACGGCCUUCGGGUUGUAAACUCCUUUCGCUAGGGACGAAGCUUUUGUGACGGUACCUAGAUAAGAAGCACCGGCUAACUACGUG